UACGGAGGGUGCGAGCGUUGUCCGGAAUCACUGGGCGUAAAGGGCGCGUAGGCGGCUCGUGAAGUCAGUGGUGAAAGCCCAGGGCUCAACUCUGGGUCGGCCACUGAUACUCGCGAGCUCGAGUUUGGUAGAGGCAGAUGGAAUUCCGGGUGUAGCGGUGGAAUGCGUAGAGACCCGGAGGAACACCAGUGGCGAAGGCGGCUUCCUGGUCUGCGACUGACGCUGUGGCGCGAAAGCUAGGGGAGCAAACGGG
Molecule: ribosomal RNA, 253 nt
Filed under: uncultured bacterium
Lineage: Bacteria
Description: partial 16S ribosomal RNA
Rfam family: Bacterial small subunit ribosomal RNA
Source: RNAcentral